This 1210-nucleotide long non-coding RNA is filed under the name Equus caballus (horse). RNAcentral's name for it is "lncRNA (ENSECAG00000042387.2)". Lineage: Eukaryota; Metazoa; Chordata; Mammalia; Perissodactyla; Equidae. The record is from RNAcentral.
CCCGGAUUUGUGUUGCUCCAUGUCUGCUUCUCUUGGGCUCUUCUGCUGUUGACCACGCCUUACAUAUUGGUGGUCUAUGGCUCUAUCUUUUACUCCCCCUCACUCCUCUGAUGAGCUGGAAGGAACUGCCUAGUGCCGUCUUCUCCAAAGUGGAAAUGAAAAACAAUGGCAAAGUUACAUGAAUUUUGAAGCAUAAACAUAUUGCAAAAUUGAAAGAAAACAGAAUAUUCUAGAAUAAUGGCUUGGAAAUGAUCCUUGGUUCAGAGGGAAAGAAAGAAAGGAGUUGCAAUGCGUGAAGAAAUGCCAGCAGAGGCUGAUGCAUUGUCUUGGAGAGAUGGAGAGUGGAAUUUGUCAGGAUGUCUCUUGUACUAAUGCGGAAAAGUGCUGCAUGCAACACACGUGGAGAUUCAGUGACAAGAGAUUUAGACCAGUGUGUUCCUAACCAUCAGGUGGGAUGCCUACCACAGCAUGGCUUGCCAAGCGGUGCCAUGUCCACACCUGGGAUCCAAACCGUCGAACCCCGGGCCACCAAGUAGAACGUGCGAACUUAACUGCUGUGCCACCGGGCCGGCCCCCUUUUUUUUUUUAACAAGAAGAUAAACUAAUCUUUCAUAAAGACAGCGAUUUACCCAGCACAGUACCAUUAAACUUGAAGUCUGGCUAGAAAAUACUGUGGGAAGCUCACAUGAGCAACUGUAUAAACUUUCCAAGAUCUAAAAUCCAUAAGGAAAUCAAAGGUGAAACUCUGCAAAGAUAAAGGACUGAGCAUCUGAACAAGUGAGCAUCAACCAAGUUAUGCUGUGAUUACAAACAACCCUAAAAUCUCAGCAGCUUAAGACAAGAAAGGGUUAUUUUUUGCUCACACAAAAUGACCACUGAGGUUUGUCUGGGGGCUCCCUCAGGUACCCAGGCUAAAUCAGGACCCUAUCCAGCACUGUAGCAAAUGGAAAGAAAGGGAGUACAGGAAAUCACACACUGCCUUUUGAAGCUUCCACCUGAAAGAAACACAUAUAAUUUCUGCUCCAUGUUAUUGGCGAGAACAAAUCACAUGGCCGCAUCUGAUUCAAGGGGAGUGGGGAAUUACAUUCCUACCACGUGCCCUGAGGGAGAACAACAAAAAUCUGGUAUACAGCAUUAAGGCCUACCACAGGAAGAACUUAAGAAAAACAGCAGUGAAAGCAACCUAAGAAAGAAAGUUCUGGAACUAGGG